GCUUGGGAGCGCGUCUGCCUUGUAAGCACUAGGUCGCGGGUUCGAUUCCCGCCUCGAGCA
Molecule: transfer RNA, 60 nt
Filed under: Diaphorina citri (Asian citrus psyllid)
Lineage: Eukaryota; Metazoa; Arthropoda; Insecta; Hemiptera; Psyllidae
Rfam family: tRNA
About the family: Transfer RNA (tRNA) molecules are approximately 80 nucleotides in length.
Source: Rfam by way of RNAcentral